GACGAACGCUGGCGGCGUGCUUAACACAUGCAAGUCGAACGGAAAGGCCCUGCUUUUGUGGGGUGCUCGAGUGGCGAACGGGUGAGUAACACGUGAGUAACCUGCCCUUGACUUUGGGAUAACUUCAGGAAACUGGGGCUAAUACCGGAUAGGAGCUCCUGCUGCAUGGUGGGGGUUGGAAAGUUUCGGCGGUUGGGGAUGAACUCGCGGCUUAUCAGCUUGUUGGUGGGGUAGUGGCUUACCAAGGCUUUGGCGGGUAGCCGGCCUGAGAGGGUGACCGGCCACAUUGGGACUGAGAUACGGCCCAGACUCCUACGGGAGGCAGCAGUGGGGAAUAUUGCACAAUGGGCGGAAGCCUGAUGAAGCAACGCCGCGUGCGGGAUGACGGCCUUCGGGUUGUAAACCGCUUUCGCCUGUGACGAAGCGUGAGUGACGGUAAUGGGUAAAGAAGCACCGGCUAACUACGUG
RNAcentral lists this ribosomal RNA (468 nucleotides) under uncultured bacterium. Its description in RNAcentral is "partial 16S ribosomal RNA". It matches the Rfam family "Bacterial small subunit ribosomal RNA", at positions 28 to 507 of the family's 1533-position model. The record is from RNAcentral.